UGGGAUACUGAACAGAAGAGGGAAGGCAUUGGAGGUCCAAGUGGAGUCUGUAAAGGCUUUAAUGCAAGACCUUAAGGCUGAGGCCUCAUUUUUUGAUGCUACAGCUUCUGAGGCAGCGGAAGGUCUUGUGGAGAUAAGAGAAGACUAUGUUGAGGAAACUUCUCCUAAAGAGGCAUCUAUGAUAGGUAUUGUGGAACCCGAGCUUCCUAUUUCUUCUCAAGCUGAAGAUGUAUCUCAUGUCAAAGAUGAGGAAUAUGAUCGCAUAUUUUCCCGACUCGCUGAACUCGAAAAGGAAGAAGAAGAAGCUGAACAUGCCAAUCAAGAAGAGAUAGGUAGUGAUGACUCGGAUGUCAGCCCAGGUCAUGUUAUCUUAGAAGAAGAAAUGAAAAGUUUAGAGCUCGAGGAAAGAGGUAAAUCUUCAAGAAUUCAGUCCACUGAAAAGUUUCCUGAUCACUGGCAUGUUGAAGGUUCAAAAGCAACAUCUAAAGAUUGCAUUGUACCAGAAAACUGCUUACCUGAGAAUCUAGCUUAUGGAAAGUUCAAUUUGACUGAGAAUGCUCCCAUGGAACCUCAAGCGGAAGAGGAUGUUAAGGCUCCUGUUAUAGCGGAGACCAAAGCUGAGGCUCAUCCCUCUGAACCACAAUUCGACAGCAGUAAGGCUUUUACUGGUAGUAUCGUAGAACACAAUAGUGAUGUUAAUUCGAAGGUGCAAUCUGUCAGUCGCAGCUCGAAGCCAGUAUCAAGGUUCAAGAUGCAGAGAAAGUAGCUGCAAUUAGUAGAUUGUUAGCUCAGCUUCAAGAUGUAGAGAAAGUAGAAUUGCAAAGGGAACUGCUUAUAUUCCAAAACAAUCUAUACUCUGUUGAGAGUGCUAAUUGUUUGUUCACAAAUACAAUUUACACUCAUCACAUUGAUCUAGUGCUGGCUAUUUGGCUAGAAUGAAUGAAGAUACAAAACUAUUAAGCUUUCCUGUACACAUUUUUGAAAAAAAAAUAUGAAAAAGAGGCAACUGUACAGACUAAAUGUUACAAGUCAAUGAAAAGAAAGUUUCAACCAUUAG
Molecule: unclassified non-coding RNA, 1057 nt
Filed under: Hevea brasiliensis (rubber tree)
Lineage: Eukaryota; Viridiplantae; Streptophyta; Magnoliopsida; Malpighiales; Euphorbiaceae
Source: RNAcentral